This 69-nucleotide transfer RNA is filed under the name Neohermes filicornis. RNAcentral describes it as "tRNA-Gln". Lineage: Eukaryota; Metazoa; Arthropoda; Insecta; Megaloptera; Corydalidae. The record is from RNAcentral.
UAUAUUUUAGUAUAUGAUGUACGAAAGUUUUUGAAACUUUUAGAGAUAGUUUAAUUCUAUUAAAUAUAA